Molecule: transfer RNA, 76 nt
Filed under: Tepidimicrobium sp.
Lineage: Bacteria; Bacillati; Bacillota; Tissierellia; Tissierellales; Tepidimicrobiaceae
Description: tRNA-Ile
Rfam family: tRNA
About the family: Transfer RNA (tRNA) molecules are approximately 80 nucleotides in length. Their secondary structure includes four short double-helical elements and three loops (D, anti-codon, and T loops). Further hydrogen bonds mediate the characteristic L-shaped molecular structure. tRNAs have two regions of fundamental functional importance: the anti-codon, which is responsible for specific mRNA codon recognition, and the 3' end, to which the tRNAs corresponding amino acid is attached (by aminoacyl-tRNA synthetases). tRNAs cope with the degeneracy of the genetic code in two manners: having more than one tRNA (with a specific anti-codon) for a particular amino acid; and 'wobble' base-pairing, i.e. permitting non-standard base-pairing at the 3rd anti-codon position.
Source: RNAcentral
GCGCCCCUAGCUCAGUGGUCAGAGCAUACGUCUGAUAAGCGUGAGGCCGAUGGUUCGAAUCCAUUGGGGCGCACCA